RNAcentral lists this ribosomal RNA (440 nucleotides) under uncultured bacterium. Its description in RNAcentral is "bacterial SSU rRNA". It matches the Rfam family "Bacterial small subunit ribosomal RNA", at positions 338 to 770 of the family's 1533-position model. The record is from RNAcentral.
CCUACGGGUGGCAGCAGUGGGGAAUAUUGCACAAUGGGCGCAAGCCUGAUGCAGCCAUGCCGCGUGUAUGAAGAAGGCCCUAGGGUUGUAAAGUACUUUCAGUCGGGAGGAAGGCGUUGAUGCUAAUAUCAUCAACGAUUGACGUUACCGACAGAAGAAGCACCGGCUAACUCCGUGCCAGCAGCCGCGGUAAUACGGAGGGUGCAAGCGUUAAUCGGAAUUACUGGGCGUAAAGCGCACGCAGGCGGUUGAUUAAGUUAGAUGUGAAAUCCCCGGGCUUAACCUGGGAAUGGCAUCUAAGACUGGUCAGCUAGAGUCUUGUAGAGGGGGGUAGAAUUCCAUGUGUAGCGGUGAAAUGCGUAGAGAUGUGGAGGAAUACCGGUGGCGAAGGCGGCCCCCUGGACAAAGACUGACGCUCAGGUGCGAAAGCGUGGGGAGCA